GUAAGCCUCCACCAGAUACUGCAAAGAUUAUUGUAUUCGAAUCAAUCCAUCGUAUUAAAAUCAAAGCUAAAGAAGUCGAGAUUAAACAUACCUCUUGCACAAGAACUGACACAUCAUUCAGGUUACCAUUUGCAAGAUCAAGCAAGAAUUCAGCAGGAUUCAUUGCAAUUAGUGGGGAACAUCCUAUAGAUGAGAAAUAAUUUAUUGCUUCAGCUGCUUUGCCAUAAUAGAUCAAGCUUCCCUUUCCAAGAAGAAUUAGCUUGUCAAAUUUAUGAAAUAGUCUGCUUGAUGGUUGAUGAAUCGUUGUCACCACGGUCUUCCCCGCCUGCCAUUGAAGAAAAACUUAAAUCAUUCUAUGAUGAAGUUAAUCAGCAAAACAGAAGAAGAACGUGCAUUGAUGAUAUAUACUUCAGCUAUCUCAUGUAAAAUCUGAACAAUUUUCAAUGCAGUUGUAGAAUCCAAGCCCGAUGUCGGUUCGUCAAGAAACAGCAGUGACGGAUUGAUUAGAAUCUCAUUGCCUAUAGAGACUCGACGCCUUUCUCCACCUGAAACUCCACGGACAAAGGAGCCACCAAUCAUUGUAUCCUGGCACCUGCAGAGGCUAUAUCGGUGAGCGCCUAAUCUAGAAGGAUGAACAUCUUAUGCUUCCAUUAGAAAAAGCUGCAAAUCCUUACCUUUCAAGGCCCAGCUCAUAUAUGACAUCGACCGCACGCUUUUCCUUCUGCUCUUUCGUCAAUGUUUUUGGCAGUCGAAGCAAAGCUGCAUAUCUCAAUGUUUCUUUCACCGUCAGGUGGGGAAACAGAACGUCCUCCUGCAUCACGAAUCCUACCCUGAACUUAUUGUAUGGCUGAUCAUUGUACGUAAUCGAACCACCAACUGUAGACCGUAUGAGCCGUCCUCCAAGCAGAUUGAGCAAUGUUGUCUUGCCACUUCCUGAAGGUCCCAUUAACGCCAGAACUUCACCAGGGUUUACUAAACCGGUGGCAAAGUGAAGCCAUUGAAGGAGAAUGACAAACCCAAGCUAGCACUUGAAGCUCUACUCAAAGCUGCACCACUGCCCAAAUCAUCCAAAUCCAGCUUCAGCUGUGCACUCCUGGACUUCCUGAUGUGUGUGUUUCGACCACCGCUGCCACUGCCACGCCCUGGUGAAGGAGCUGUCAACGUCUGCCUACUCGACUUCCUCGAGAGGGUUGUGCUGCCACUCUCCCCCACCACCCCACCGUUCACCUCGCUGCUCGACGUCGGAGACUUGAAUGCUGCUGCCACCUUCUCCAAAAGUUGAUCGGAUUUCGUCCUCGCUAGGGCUAAUGAACUCGUUGGCUUCUCCAUGUCGCCUCCAACCUUCUUUCUUCCUAGUGUUGACAUAAAAAUAUUGGUUUGACAUUCAUAAUUGUGAAAGAAGAUUUAUUUUUAGUUCAUAUUGACCAUACCUUUUUUGUGAUGUUGAAGGAGAGGGGAGAUUCAGAAGUGAAGAACUUAUAGAGAGAGAAAGAGUUGGCUCAAUCUAUUGCACCUUCAAUGGUA
Long non-coding RNA from Cucurbita maxima (winter squash), 1524 nucleotides. RefSeq lists it as uncharacterized. NCBI's taxonomy places the organism in Eukaryota, Viridiplantae, Streptophyta, Magnoliopsida, Cucurbitales, Cucurbitaceae. The record is from RefSeq and is a predicted model, not a curated record. The transcript is spliced from 4 exons.